UGGCCAGACUCCUACGGGAGGCAGCAGUGGGGAAUAUUGCACAAUGGGGGGAACCCUGAUGCAGCGACGCCGCGUGGGUGAAGGAGCACCUCGGUGCGUAAAGCCCUAUCGGCAGGGAAGAAACAGACGGUACCUGACUAAGAAGCCCCGACUAACUACGUGCCAGCAGCCGCGGUAAUACGUAGGGGGCAAGCGUUAUCCGGAUUCACUGGGUGUAAAGGGAGCGUAGACGGCGACGCAAGUCUGGAGUGAAAGCCCGGGGCCCAACCCCGGGACUGCAUUGGGAACUGCCCCGCUCGAGUGCCGGAGGGGCAGGCGGAAUUCCUAGUGUAGCGGUGAAAUGCGUAGAUAUUAGGAGGAACACCAGUGGCGAAGGCGGCCUGCUGGACGGUGUACUGACGCUGAGGCUCGAAAGCGUGGGGAGCAAACAGGAUUAGAUACCCGCGUAGCC
This 451-nucleotide ribosomal RNA is filed under the name uncultured bacterium. Its description in RNAcentral is "bacterial SSU rRNA". It matches the Rfam family "Bacterial small subunit ribosomal RNA", at positions 328 to 795 of the family's 1533-position model. The record is from RNAcentral.